GGGACAUCCAGUCUGGCCAGUUGCAAUCUACGGGCAUUAUGCUGAUGCAGGGGAUUCUGCUGCACUGCUCUCUGGUGCUUUAAAUGUCCCAAUGCUUUUUACUGGCCACUCAUUAGGUCGGGAUAAACUGGAGCAAUUAUUAAAACAGGGUCGGUUGUCAAGGGAUGAGAUAAAUUCAACAUACAAAAUAAUGCGCCGUAUAGAGGCAGAAGAAUUAGCUCUUGAUGCCUCUGAAAUAAUUAUAACGAGCACAAGACAGGAAAUUGAAGAGCAAUGGAAAUUAUAUGAUGGGUUUGAUCCUAUCCUGGAACGUAAGUUACGUGCUAGGAUAAAGCGUAAUGUGAGUUGCUAUGGCAGGUUCAUGCCCCGUAUGGCGAUAA
Molecule: unclassified non-coding RNA, 380 nt
Filed under: Hevea brasiliensis (rubber tree)
Lineage: Eukaryota; Viridiplantae; Streptophyta; Magnoliopsida; Malpighiales; Euphorbiaceae
Source: RNAcentral